AUACUUGCUUUAGUAUAAAUAAUAAAAUUGGAACGAUACAGAGAAGAUUAGCAUGGCCCCUGCACAAGGAUGCGACGCGAAUUCAAGAAGCGUUACUUAUUUUU
Small nuclear RNA from Octopus sinensis (East Asian common octopus), 104 nucleotides. NCBI's taxonomy places the organism in Eukaryota, Metazoa, Mollusca, Cephalopoda, Octopoda, Octopodidae. The record is from RefSeq and is a predicted model, not a curated record.